GACGAACGCUGGCGGCGUGCUUAACACAUGCAAGUCGAGCGGUAAGGCCCUUUCGGGGGGUACACGAGCGGCGAACGGGUGAGUAACACGUGGGUGACCUGCCCUUAGCUCUGGGAUAAGCCUGGGAAACUGGGUCUAAUACCGGAUAUGACUCCAUAACGCAUGUUGUGGGGUGGAAAGCCUUGUGCGGCUAGGGAUGGGCCCGCGGCCUAUCAGCUUGUUGGUGGGGUGAUGGCCACCAAGGCGACGACGGGUAGCCGGCCUGAGAGGGCGACCGGCCACACUGGGACUGAGACACGGCCCAGACUCCUACGGGAGGCAGCAGGUGGGGAAUCUUGCGCAA
Molecule: ribosomal RNA, 343 nt
Filed under: uncultured bacterium
Lineage: Bacteria
Description: bacterial SSU rRNA
Rfam family: Bacterial small subunit ribosomal RNA
Source: RNAcentral